CUCAUACUUCUACUUAAACAGUCUAAUAUACGACCAGAAACAAGAAACAAAUGCAGUUUAUUCAUCAGUGAGAAGAACAAGUGACAUCAGUUAUGGACAAAUCACCAUCAAGACGAACAGGAGGAGAGAGUUUCAGCCGGGACCAGAGGUGAUCUACUCUUACCUGAGAGAGAGCGUCACAGCCUCACAUCAUCCAUGAAUGUGUCCAGACCUGAUCUCUGUCUGCAGCUCUUCAACUACAAUGAACCAAACAUGUGAUGGGACAUAAGCAGGACGAUGGUUCAUCUAAAUGCAAUUUAAUGACGAGCGUCACGUUGGACACAUUGAUUGUGACUCAGUGGACUAAGACGACACAAAGGAAGACUCCACCUGUGAGAAUCACUGUGAACGCCUUGGUUAUUGAUUAAACUUUAAAUAUUAUUCAUCCACAAGGGAAAUUACUCGGUCACAGUAGCUCAGUAAAAAAAAAAGGAAAAAUCUAGCAAAAUAUAAUAAAAGUAAAAUAUAAGUAAAACUCUAGUUAUUUAUAUGAAAUAAAAAAUAAGAUAUGAGCAAAACUCUAGGAAAAUAAAAAGAAUUAGUAAAUCCACUAAAGAAAACUCUGGUGGCUGGGAGGAUUUAUUUGCAUGUUACGAAAAACACAUGCAAAUAAAUUCAGAGGACAAAUUUGUGCCCUGAACAUAAAAUAAAAUGCUGCAAGAACCGUGAGGAACGACAUUAAUGCUCCCAGAGCUCCAGGAUCCAAACUAGGGAUACAAGAGAAAUGAAAAGAAGUUGUUUUUACUUUUCUUUUCUUUGAACGUCCUGAUGACACGAUUCAUUUAACUUCAUUUGUUUGAGUUCUCUCGACCUCUGUAGACCAGACACAUUAAAUCCCUGUGUUGACCUUCAGUGGUUCCAUUCACUCAUUCACUGAUGAUGGAUGAGUGUUCAUGUGUUCAUGUGGCUGCAGCUUCUCUGUGGAUGAAUCAAGUCAGUGAAUGCGCUGACCUUUAAAAUCUAAACCUCAUCAUCACUGCAUCAGCAUCACAGCUGUUUAUGAACACAUUAGACCUCCUCUCACUAAAAACACCAUGUAGAUGCAGCCAGCAGGGGGCAGCACAGGAGCUUCAGUUUGUCUAUGAGCACAUGAUGGAGUUCACUCUAAUGGAGGAAGAAGGUGAAGACGUGAGAUUUGAAUCCUCACAGACUCUGAGAGUUACAGCAAAUAUCAAAGAAGGAAACCAGGAAGUGAAGCUGCAGCUUUUUGUUCUUCACUGACAAACUGAGAAUCUGGAUCAGAACCAACACAAAAACACAUCAACACCCCACAAUAACCCACAAUAACCCACACUAACCCACACUAACCCACACCAACCCCACUGUGUCUCUGCUGUUAACUCUGCUGGGUAUAAAACUAGGCUGCAUAGUCUGGAGUUACAGGUAAAGUUGUGUUAUAUAAACCCUGUUUGGACAUGUCAUCGUUGUGUAAGAUGGCGGCUCUAGUUGCUCUUUCGUUUACUGUGAAAUGAAACUUCCUCUCAGUAGUUUUCCAUGAAGAGGGCGUCUCUGCCCUCCAGCCACAGCCUAAUGUAACACGAGGCACGAACGGCAAAAACAAAGAUGAGCAUUUGCCUUUGAUGGAUUUGAUAUUCAAAACGUCUAGUUAUAGAGUCAUACUGUGUUUCAGCUUCGCAGACACAGGCCCUGUGUACAGUCAGACAUGAUGAAGGGGGCUUUACAUUCUUCAGCCCAUAAAGGAAGAGGGAAAAUAGUUUGACUCUGACAUCAUGAAAAAAUCCCCCUGCCGCCUUCAGAUGAAACUCAGUGGGUUAAAGAGGGACAGUCCAGAACAUGAUGUGGACAGUAUGGAUGUGGAUUCUUUAAGUUGUUUCUCUACAGAGCAGCUGCUUAAAGAGGGAGAAACCAUUUCCUGAUUCAGAUUGUGUUUCAAACAACAACAACUCUCCUCCAUUUUGUUCUGUUAACGAGGACGGACCCUAGGGGGAGUAGAUGUGAGUUGGUGAAAAAGAGGAACUGAACCUGCAGACAGGUGUCAGCUGCAACAUAGAGUCAGGUUCAUCUGUCAGUGUUUUACAAGAGAAUUUGUUGUUAUUCAACGCAAAUUAAACACAGGAUCAAAUUCACACAGAGCGUGGGUCUGGCCAAUAAAUGUCUCCUUGUCUCAGAUGAAAUAUGAGUAGAUGAGUCCCUAUAGAGAUGAUGUGUUGGCGGUAACCCUGAGGCACAAACCUGUUGAUACCUGCAGCUUUGUUCACAUAAUCACAUAACACCCUCCCCCUCCUGUGGGGGAGGGUGUUUUCCCCUAAUCUGACCUCAGCCUGAGUCACGCACGUCUACACAAACACAGACUGUGAUCUUUAGUUUUACCACUCUCCUUUAUUUACAGAAUCAACAAAUGCGAACAAAAUGUGUUCAGAUAGUUUGUAUUGUUGUUGGUACUAGAUACAUAAAACUGAACUGAAUGGAACAGAAGGGCGGCAGCGUUUCUGAGCACUGACCUUAUGUAGUUGAACCGGUCGGACCGACAGCAGAGCAAACAAGAGAGAGAACACCACAAUUAACCCUUCAGGGGUGGGAGGAUGUCUGGUAAAUUCAUCACAUUUUAAAUCACACCCCUGCUCCUCUCUUUAUUUAGCUUUAUUGCCAUGUUUUCAGAUCAAGGAAUCAUUGUCCGUGUCCUGAUGUCGUCUAAUGUGAUGACGUUCUAACGCUCUGAAUACAUGUUAAUGCACAGACAUGAGAACACGAUUCAGGCUCUGGUUGAACUAAAUCUGGGGCAGGUGUUUGAGUUCUUUAGGUCUCAGGAGGAGGAAAGAGGACGCCUGGUCACUCCAAUAAACCCAGACAGAUACAGGACUCUGUCCCUGGAGACGUCAUUAACUGCUGACUGUCAGCUGCCAUAAAGUGUUUUAUAAGAGGGCGUGUUGUUAUCACACACAAACUAGACACGUCUGCACAGGAUCAAAUUCCUCCAACAGUCAGCAGAUGCUCAAAUUCACUUCAUUCAGCUCAACAUAGCCACCAUUUAAAAAAAUACAAGUUAAAAUGACGAGACACUGAGUGUAGGUCUGAGGAAUAAAUGUCUUCCUGUUUCCACAUGAGUCGACUGAGAAGAGGUGAUGUGUUGGUGGUAACCCUCAGACGAACCCGUUAUUAACAGCUGCCUCCCGCUCUUUCAUCAUGAACUGACUGUUGCUAACACAGACACUUGUUUAGUUUUAAAAACUCCUUUACAGACGUGUUGUUUCCCCUUCACAGCCCCUCCCACCCUGUUUCUGUUCCUCUCUGAAGCUGCGCCUUUGUUUCUGAGAAGUGAAGCUAAUAAAUAACCUGUCUGACCUGUGUUACAGGACUUUUAUACCACAAUUAAAAUAAAGAACAUUGUGAUCAGUGGUUCACAGGGUGCACUUCAUUCUGCACAUACUACACAUACGUGUCAUGCUCUGAACGUUUUAGUUUCUUUUAUUUUAGUGCACAGAGAAAACAGGCAGACAGUGACAUCCUGAAACUCUGGCUUCUGUCUGAAACCAAGUCCUGACUGAGAAUGUGAGCCACUACAAAUGAAACCUCUCCUCCAGUUAGCAAACCCGCGCAGGACCUGAAGGCGGUUAUUUUAUCAUAGCCGGUUAUUACAUGAUGGGAGGUGAACAACCAAAUGAAGUCAGCUUUAUGCUCCUUUAUCUGUCAGGUUACAACAUGCUGGCUGCACACACAUAUUUUAUUCAUCAGACAUUAGACACGUCCACACAGGCUCGAAUUCCUGCUUCAGUCAACUCAUCCAGAAUUCAUUUCAUCGUCAAAGCUCAACAAUAGAGCAGCCUCACAAAAAGAGGGACAGCUUGACACAGCGUAACCCUGCUUUAUUUCCUUGGUCAAAGUAUUCAUUUAUUUUAACAAAUACUUCCUCAGUUCUAACUGGAACUGGUUGAAACAGGAACUUAUGUGGGUGGAACACAUUUAGAAACUUGUAUGAGCGGCUUCCAUUACAUGUGACUUAGACUUAGACUUUAAUGAUCCCUGAGGGAGAUGACUUUUAAAAACCAAAACCAAAAAUUAAAUAAAAUAAGUUUAGAUUACAACAAAAAUUAAAUAAAACAUUAAAUGUUAUCGGGUAAAAUACUUCCCUAUUGACUUUUAAACUGAACAUACGCAGAGAGACACACCCGCCCAUAAUAACAAUCUUAUCGACUUCACCAUAAACACUUUUGCACACGGUGCGCUUCCAGCCGCCCUAACCCACAUCCUGCAGGCCUGCUCGUCAGCUGUUGUGUAACGUCUUUUUAUACUGUAGCUGCAUGGACUAGUGUUUUGCACGCUCUGCUUUGCACCAUCUCUACUUCUUGCAGCGUUUGCACCGUUUUGUGUUUGCUGCAUCAGCCUGCACACAUGCACCUUGUUGUCAGGCCCUAGCAUGGUCCUCAGUCCUGGGUCUACAUGUCCUCUCGUCUCACUCUGUCUUCAAGCUUCGACCUUCAGGUGGACUGCUGAGUUUUUGUUUCUGUUCUAAUAAACAGGAAUGCUAUGUUUCCUGCAACUCUCUUAAUCUGUAUUUAUCUGAUUCCCAGGUCUGUCGUCUACUUCUUGUUUAUGCCACAGAGAUGAAUUACAGGAAACUCCGCUCCACUGAGACAUCAGUGCUUUCACAUGCUUUAACAUCCUGCUUGUUAAAAAAAAAAAAAAAGCUUCUGCUGAAUUAUCUCAUUAAGCCAGGAGGAAAACACUGGGUGUGUUCAAUGUGAUAAUUAUACAAGACUCUCAGGGUUCUGGAACAUUUUGUGCUCACCAGAGGGUGAGCCUUGUUGGUUUCAUAUGAGUCAAGGGAAAAGUACCUUCAGUCUGAAACAGAAACACAUGAAAUAUAAAGUUCAAAUAUACAAAACUCUAGCUGUGUCCAGAUACAGACACAGAGAGCCGGGUCCUCGUUGUUUCUGGCCGUGGUCCAUGGGGGGAACCUGGACUUGUGUCCCUGGUCUGGCUCCAGUUAGUGGAGGUACUGCAGCAAACACACCUGCCAGGGUCUCUUAGUCCGGUCCCUCCCCCGGGAACUAGGCUUUUGCACCCUGCCACAAACCUUCCAGGAUCACAGGGGCGAACCAGCUCCCCUUAUAUCCUGUUAGAAGCUUCUAAAAACACUUCCAGACAACAGGAGAACUGAACAUGCACACAUAAAGUUUGGAGCUAAGAAUGUCCUCAGUUAUAUUUAAAGGUUCCUGUAAACCUUUGAGAUCUUAGCUGGUUGAGACCUCAGUUAUUAUCACAUGUCUAACAGAGUUUAAAGUCGACUACAGAGGAGAAUUUACCCACAGCUGCAAAUAACAGUUAGGUUAGUUAAGGGAAACAGUAAAAGGAUAUAACAGGGCCUACUUACAUUACUCAUGGUCAGAUCAUCUUUUAUUUUCAGAACUGACUGUGUUAAAGAGGAACAGCUCUGUUCUUCCUGGUUCAGACUGAGGGGGAGGUGUUGAUGACGAUGGAAACGUUUUUUUAAAAAGUGCUUCAGACUGACUGCAGUGAAACCCCCUGAAUCCCACCAGAAUGUGACUAAAUAUUAGAGUUUCCAGGGUCUGAUUUCUGAGAUCCAGCUUUAAGCUGCUGACGCCCUGAGGCCAGAGUAGCAUCAGGUCAAUCACAUGAUGAGAGGCUGCUGGACUAUUUUAGACCUUUGUGUUGCAGGUUGUUGACCUGACGUUACCUGGAAAACUGUUGUGUUGUUGUUGUUGUUGUUGUGUGACUGGUUGAGCUGAGAGACCUUCUGCAUUCCCAGCAAACCAUACACCACAAGGGUACACGCUUAUACUACCCGAGAGGAAUCAUUUAUAUUUAUUUAUUCCUUUCAUGAAAGUGGACAACAGAAUUUGUACAUAACUGCACACUACAUUUUGAAAUCUACUUAACUGGAAAGGAGCAGCAAGAAGAAAGUAUUUCUGUAUCUGACUCCUACUUGAACAAUUAAAAAAAGAAAAAAAUGGUCUGACAUCAUGUAAAGUUGAUUUUCAGUAGCCUACUACAUCAACAACACAAAUAAACAAAACAUAUCAAAUAAAAAAUAGCUUACAAAGUACAAAUUUACAAACUCAAAAAUAUUUAUUGUUAACAUCCAGUUUAACUUUCAAGUGCAUAUUGACAAUUGUUUCAGCAUUUAUACACUUAUACAUUUUACUUAAUUUUAAAAUUAGUCAAUAUUUGAGCAACCUUUUAACUCCUGAAUUCGGGGGUUCCAUAUUUUUACUCCAACAACCAAAAUACACAUCUGUUUUAAAGUAGUUUUAGCAACUUGGUGCUUAAAAUCGAAUCUUCUUCUAUGAGUUUUAUCUUCUGAAGUAAACACAAAUAGCUUUUGCAGGUUUUCUGGUAAUUUUGCCUUUGAGCAUAAUUAACAAUGUCUCAAGUUCUAUUAUCUCUGUAAGUUUCAAUAACCCUGAUGUAAUAAA
Molecule: long non-coding RNA, 6434 nt
Organism: Mugil cephalus (flathead mullet)
Lineage: Eukaryota; Metazoa; Chordata; Actinopteri; Mugiliformes; Mugilidae
Exons: 3
Source: RefSeq, a predicted model, not a curated record